UCAACCCUCAAGCCCCGGCUUGGUGUUGGAGGCCUGGCGGGGGUUUCGACCCCGGCCGCUCCCAAAGACAAUGACGGCGUCCGGUGGACCCCUGGUACAAUGAGCUUUUUGCAAGGCACGUAUCGGUCGCGGUCCCCGGAGGCUGGUCUCAACUUCCCCCCUCAGGGGAACUCAUAUCAA
Molecule: unclassified non-coding RNA, 180 nt
Filed under: uncultured fungus
Lineage: Eukaryota; Fungi
Description: sequence contains ITS2
Source: RNAcentral